CCGCUAGUGGUUCAGUGAUAGAAUUCUUGCCUUGCAUGCAGGAGACCUGGGUUCUAUUCCCAUCCAACGCA
This 71-nucleotide transfer RNA is filed under the name Loxodonta africana (African savanna elephant). It matches the Rfam family "tRNA". Rfam says of the family: Transfer RNA (tRNA) molecules are approximately 80 nucleotides in length. Lineage: Eukaryota; Metazoa; Chordata; Mammalia; Proboscidea; Elephantidae. The record is from Rfam by way of RNAcentral.